This 586-nucleotide ribosomal RNA is filed under the name uncultured bacterium. Its description in RNAcentral is "partial 16S ribosomal RNA". It matches the Rfam family "Bacterial small subunit ribosomal RNA", at positions 355 to 1375 of the family's 1533-position model. The record is from RNAcentral.
UGGGGAAUUUUGGACAAUGGGCGAAAGCCUGAUCCAGCAAUGCCGCGUGUGUGAAGAAGGCCUUCGGGUUGUAAAGCACUUUUGUCCGGAAAGAAAUCCUUGGCUCUAAUACAGUCGGGGGAUGACGGUACCGGAAGAAUAAGCACCGGCUAACUACGUGCCAGCAGCCGCGGUAAUACGUAGGGUGCAAGCGUUAAUCGGAAUUACUGGGCGUAAAGCGUGCGCAGGCGGUUUGCUAAGACCGAUGUGAAAUCCCCGGGCUCAACCUGGGAACUGCAUUGGUGACUGGCAGGCUAGAGUAUGGCAGAGGGGGGUAGAAUUCCACGUGUAGCAGUGAAAUGCGUAGAGAUGUGGAGGAAUACCGAUGGCGAAGGCGGCCCCCUGGGCCAAAUACUGACGCUCAUGCACGAAAGCGUGGGGAGCAAACAGGAUUAGAUACCCUGGUAGUCCACGCCCUAAACGAUGUCAACUAGUUGUUGGGGAUUCAUUUCCUUAGUAACGUAGCUAACGCGUGAAGUUGACCGCCUGGGGAGUACGGUCGCAAGAUUAAAACUCAAAUGAAUUGACGGGGUCAUAGCUGUUUCCU